Molecule: long non-coding RNA, 5423 nt
Organism: Dermacentor andersoni
Lineage: Eukaryota; Metazoa; Arthropoda; Arachnida; Ixodida; Ixodidae
Source: RefSeq, a predicted model, not a curated record
UGCUCCUUUUCUUUGUCCCUGUUCGUUUUGCACACAAAAAGUUUCUCUAAAAAUGAAUCUGUUCCAACUAGGCUGACCUACAGUUAUACAACAGGAAUGGCAGCGAUAGGGGUAUGCAGUUUAAGUUAUCCAGCCAAGAAAUUUCAAAAUACAAGAAAAAAGAUGCAUGCCCUCAACUGAAAUUUUGCUCAGUCAUCUUUACACAACAUACACAGCACAGCGCUGUGUAUGUCGUCUCUCGCAGUCCUUGUCCUUCGCGCUGUACGUUAUUUUUUAUCAUGAAUUACCAACUAGCCCAAGCAACCACCCUAGUUCACUUCUUUCCCCAUUUGCUGACCAGGCUGGUCAAGCAACCUGGAACUGCAGAACGACUUUUUCUUCCGUUCAGUUUUAGUUCAGCGCAGCACCACACACAACAAAAAAAUCACUGCCCCUUCCAGUCCAUGAAGAUGGUCAAACAGCAAAGCUGUGUUAGUUAUGCAGAGUGUUGCAUCAUGCAAGUCAAACUUCACAAGCAGUCUAUAUUGUAAAUCUUUUGUUUCACCAUUCUUUCACCUCAUUUUCGCUUUGUAUGCUUUACGUGGUGAGCCUGCUUUAGGAGUGCUUUAUUUUUUUUUUCAGUGGUUCUCCCAAUUUCUUUUUUUUUCUUUUUGCGUGUGAGGUUUCUAUUUGUGUUUUGCCGUACUUUUUUUUUCGCAUGCAAGUUGCUCCACCCCUUUUUUGCGUGCCAGUAAUGACUAUAAGCCAUACAGUACCAUGUGUGAAACCACUAAUCCAAAGCUUCAUAUAUUCAAAUUCAAAUUCAAGUUUAUUUACCAAGGCGCAAGGCCCACCACUGGAGAUGCGGGCGCUGCAAUCAUUUUGACGACUGGUUGGAUUGGUUUGACAAUUGAUGCGCCUGCCGGCACUUCUUGCUGGGACUAGAAGUGCCGGCAGCCAUGCGCUCCUAGUAUCGUGUUUCAACCUCUGGGCACUGUUCGUUGGCUGCAAACCGCCAGCAUAACAUUUGUUUCUUUUGCGGCAGGGUGGAAUCAAUCGCCGAAAAAUUCUAUGUCGGUCUGGCUCGAUCGUCAAAAAUGCAUUGUAUGACAACUGUAUAAGAUUCGCGUAUAAAAUAGCAUUCUCAGAGGGAGAAAGGGGUCCCUCCAACCCCUUUCCCCAUGUGGAGUUCUUUUCCUCUCCCGCUAGGUCACGUGGCCCCUUUUUAGCAACGUCCAACAACGACGGUCCAGGGUCAAACGACAGCCCGGGAGCAAAGUAGACAUGUGUGACGUUUCAACGCGACCAUCACCACAGGAGAGUGGCAGGAAGGGAAACUGGAUACACAAGCACUUGGAACGCCGACAAACAGAAGGCGGUGCGAACGUGGACAUGGCCGACGCAGCUUGCACAGUGGCAAAUCUUUGAGAACUAUCUACCUGAGAAUGGGACCGCUGGCCUGAGGAGCCGGCGGAAACUAGACAAGCAUGACAUUUCGACGGGACCGCCACCACGGGAGAGUGGAGAGUAGAUGUGCAAGUAUUUUGCUGCUGUAAUAUGUCAUUGCUUACAGUAUUGCUCGUGCAGGAACAAAUACUAGAAAUUAGCCGAGUGAUGGAGGAAAAGGUAAUAAUGGGGAGGAACGAAAGAAAUUGUGUACUAUUUGUCUUAUGCCUUGUUGAAGGCAAUUAUACAGUGGUCACCAUAAAAGCAUCGAUGCUUUCACGGACUAAAGGUUACAUGUUUGUGGCACAUAAAAGAAACUUAAUUUUGCUAUUGUACUUUUUUCCCUAUUGUUUCCUCUGUUCUUAGAGCACAAAAUUAUGUCAUUCAGGCCCAGUCCCGCUCGAAAGCAUCAUUGCUUUGGUGGGCUAAUGAAAUAUUUGAUUUGUAUAUCUUAUGUUCUAAAAAAAAGAUAGAAGUGCUUGGAACGCCGACAAAGAGAGGGCAGUGUGACCAUAGACAUGGCUGAUGCAGGUCGAAGCAUAGUAUCUGUUCUUAGCUUAAUAUCUGAUACGGGUUCUAUUUGGAUGCAAGACAUUAAACUUAUUUUCGCAAAUUGGCAGAGUGCUUGAAGCCUGCUUCACCUCCGCCGGGGUUCGGCCUGGUGCUGCACUAUCUUUGGGAUUGGCCCACGGUUUUCGCUAGUGCAGAACAAAAAUGCACGGAACCCUAGCCAUAAACAGCUUUGCUGUAAAAAGGGAACUUUGGCAUGUGUGCAAUCGAUGAUGGCAUUACAGUGCGACAUAACAUCCCAACCUAGGAUGAUUUCGAGCAAGCAGGUGGAUAGUGCAACAAACUCAAUCCUGAACUCAAUCCCCCCAUGAUAACGGGAGCCAUGCAGGCUGCUAGAGGUCAAAAGACUUGUGCGCUUGCUGUUCGGAGCAACUAUCCAUCCACUGAAGUUGUGACCUCUCUUAAAAAGUGACAAAGUUUUUCGUGCAUUACUGAAACUGCAGUUCCAGUGUCUACAUGUCAAUGUAGAAAUAUCUUCAAUAACAACUUUGACAAUGCUUGUAGGCAACAAGUGAGAACUUCAGAAUUUUUAUGGUGACCCAGCUCUGGCCACAGAAACUGUAGCACUUAGUUUUCCAGUUUGGAAGGUGCAGCACAAGAAUGCAUUGAAGAGAAUGAAUGAUGUGGUAAGGAUGACUAACAGGGGACGGAUGAUGGAGAACUAGGUGUCAGAAGUGCUGUAGAAGGCUGUAGCUCGUCGGCGCAGCGAGUCAUUCUGGAAGUGGCAGCAGGCAAUUCUAAGCAAGGUCAACAUGCCCAGGCAGCCACAAGCAAAGCCUAUAGGCUGAUUGUCUGGUGUGUACCAAAGAUUUGCACCAGUAGCGGUGGUUCAGGGAAAAAAGAAUUAUGCAGAUUCCACGAAGCAAAACUUUCUGAUCUGUGUGCUUUGAUUGGCGAUAAUUAAAGGUGAUAUUGACGAGGAAUGUUUAAUUUCUUCAGCGUGUAGUCCAAUACAAGAGUGGUGAGUUAAUGUUAAACAUUACCUUGCUUGCACCACUGCUGUUUGUCUGCGCCAUUGUUCAUAACCUCUGAGAGGGUUGAGCAUUGUUAUUGCCUCACAUGGCACAUCAAAUUGAAAUGAAAGUUUAUUUUCCAUCUUGUAAGGUACAGAUCUUGUAAGAUACAGAUGGGGGGGUGGAGGAAAAAAGCUGUCCAUUGUGGCAGAAGUCUUAAACUUUAAUUGAAUUAUGGGGCUGCACGAGCCAAAACAACAAUCGAAUUAUGAAGCUCACCGUAGUGAUGGCCUCCGGAUAAAUUUUGACACCCUGGUGUUCUUUAACGUGCACCUAAAUCUAAGAGUUAUUGCAUUUCCCUCCCGUCGAAAUGUAGCUGCCGUGGUUGGGACUGAAUCCGCAACCUUGAGCAAUGCCAUAGUCGCCAAGCUACUGCGGUGGGUACAGAAGUGUUGAUUUGGCAUGCGACCACUUCCGUAGUGUCACCUAGAUCCUAUGAUGCUUUAAUGUGGCUUUGUAGUUGCAUGCCCUGCAUCAGUUGUCCCCCUAACAAAUUUGCAUGGUGUUUAUUUUUCAGAAAUAGCAGAAAUGUACCAUACCGCACUUUCUGUUUGACCGCUACCACUGUUGUGUCUAUAGUAGUAGCAUUUGCUUGCCUUCUUACGCCAUCUUUUCCCUCUCCCGCUACCAAUGACAAAAAGGCAGUAAGGAUGGCCAUAUUACUUCCUCCCGAACAAUUGCUUUGACCUCAGCAAAAACCGACUUGGAGUGACAGUCAGUUGGGAAAAUGACCCAUCAUACAGAAAAGUGCAGCCAGCAAAAUGUGUCGCUUUCACAGCUCAUCAUAGCUUUGGCACAGCUGUAUAGCUUCCGAAACAGUUCCUGGGCCCUUGAAAAGAAGCAUGUGCGAAACACUGUCAAUGCCCUUAAUCAUUUGUUGGACUUUAUCAGGCUUUUGCGUCGACACAAUGCCAUAUUUGCCCUCUAUGACAAUAUAGCUUGUCAGUGUCCCAUCCGGCUAUUGAUCCCGUUAACUCAAAUGUUGUUCAACAUAUACUUUGCAAACAGCUGGACGAUCAAACACAUCAGCAAAGAUGGCCUUGAAGGGGAAGUUUCCCUUGUGAUGGUUAAAUUGCAGGCUCGCAAGGUCCUCCAGGUUUGUUUUGUUUAACUUUAUGGCAUCGUUCCACUGGUUGCAGCACUCUCCCUCCCUUAUGAUGAUAGUCUGCUUUUGAAGUCACUGCCUGUAAUGCUAAAUCUGGCUGGAUUUCUUCGUGAAGGGCACCAGAGAUGACGGGCUGUGUCAAGAACAUCUGCUGAACGACAUUGGGCAUGGUAGUCACAGUGCCAGGACGGAGUUCCAGGAUGGUACCUGCGCGGUGCAAGAAACAACAGAAAUCAUGCCGUUCAAGCUGGUUUACAGCAGGAACCUGACGACGACUCUCAAUGCCAUGUUGCCGCAAGUCACUGACGAAAAGCAUCUUGACGCCGCCACCAAUUUCCAGUGCACCGAAGAAGCCCAACAGCUCGCCCACCUGCGGAUCAAGAACCAGCAGAGGACCGACAGCCGAUACUACAACCUUCGACGACGCUACGUUUAGUACCAGCCCGGUGACUGUGUUUCGGUUCUGACCCCAAUAUGCCUACGAGGACUUAGCGAGAAGCUUUUACGCCACUAUUUCAGAUCCUACAAGGACCGACGCAUUGGUGCAGUCGACUACGAGGUCGUGCCCGACGGCAUUUGACUAUCACAGUGGUCACAGUGGCGCCACUCAGAACCUCAAAUAGUCCAUGCUGUGCAACUUAAGCCAUUCUACCAGCACUAAUGAACUCUGAGAAUUUGCAUAGCUGAACUUUAAACGUUUCUUUUGGACUGUGUUAGCCUUGGACUUUGUUUCUUUGUUGUGUCCUUUUGUGUUUCACUCACCUGUUAUGUUUGUAGCAUCGGGACGAUGCUUUUUAAGAAGGGGGCACUGACACAUAAGAGCUGCAAAAUGGCCUUGGCAUGCCUGUAUCACAGGACGUCGCUGGUGGUACAGCAGCAGUCUAUUGAGCACGCCGACAAAAGCGAGCGAUGUGACUGGUGUAGCCACAGGCAAAGCAUAUUGACACGUAAACUUGUUUAUCUUUUACGGGUGAGUGCUUUUUACCAUCUAAUAAAUGUUAUCGCUCAGCACAGGACGCACCCGCAUUGACCAGAGGUUUCUCGAAUGUUAACGAUUGUUUUGUUGUUACCGAAACUUCUGGAAUCUGAUAGCAUGUGUGACGCAAAUUGUGCAGAAUUUUCCCGAAAACAUGCAGGCACCACCAAUUACUCUGGCACCUUCGAUGACUCUUGUAUUAAAGCCAACACCCUAGAACAGCAGGUCAGAUUUUCGAUGAUCGCCAACUGUGUUCGCUGUUAUUGUAGUGCUUAAGUGUAGCCUGUUUUGAGUCCAUUAGUUCACCCAAUAAAACACUAGUUUCACAAUGACA